CGAGAGAGAGCUUGCUUUCUCGAGCGAGUGGCGAACGGGUGAGUAACGCGUGAGGAACCUGCCUCAAAGAGGGGGACAACAGUUGGAAACGACUGCUAAUACCGCAUAAGCCCACGGGUCGGCAUCGACCAGAGGGAAAAGGAGCAAUCCGCUUUGAGAUGGCCUCGCGUCCGAUUAGCUAGUUGGUGAGGUAACGGCCCACCAAGGCGACGAUCGGUAGCCGGACUGAGAGGUUGAACGGCCACAUUGGGACUGAGACACGGCCCAGACUCCUACGGGAGGCAGCAGUGGGGAAUAUUGCACAAUGGGGGAAACCCUGAUGCAGCGACGCCGCGUGGAGGAAGAAGGUCUUCGGAUUGUAAACUCCUGUUGUUGGGGAAGAUAAUGACGGUACCCAACAAGGAAGUGACGGCUAACUACGUGCCAGCAGCCGCGGUAAAACGUAGGUCACAAGCGUUGUCCGGAAUUACUGGGUGUAAAGGGAGCGCAGGCGGGAAGACAAGUUGGAAGUGAAAUCUAUGGGCUCAACCCAUAAACUGCUUUCAAAACUGUUUUUCUUGAGUAGUGCAGAGGUAGGCGGAAUUCCCGGUGUAGCGGUGGAAUGCGUAGAUAUCGGGAGGAACACCAGUGGCGAAGGCGGCCUACUGGGCACCAACUGACGCUGAGGCUCGAAAGUGUGGGUAGCAAACAGGAUUAGAUACCCUGGUAGUCCACACCGUAAACGAUGAUUACUAGGUGUUGGAGGAUUGACCCCUUCAGUGCCGCAGUUAACACAAUAAGUAAUCCACCUGGGGAGUACGACCGCAAGGUUGAAACUCAAAGGAAUUGACGG
RNAcentral lists this ribosomal RNA (832 nucleotides) under uncultured bacterium. Its description in RNAcentral is "bacterial SSU rRNA". It matches the Rfam family "Bacterial small subunit ribosomal RNA", at positions 69 to 916 of the family's 1533-position model. The record is from RNAcentral.